Molecule: non-coding RNA, 63 nt
Organism: Rattus norvegicus (Norway rat)
Lineage: Eukaryota; Metazoa; Chordata; Mammalia; Rodentia; Muridae
Source: Rfam
GGGGAUUUAGCUCAGUGGUAGAGCGCUUGCCUAGCAAGUACAAGGCCCUGGGUUCAGUCCCCA